Molecule: ribosomal RNA, 253 nt
Filed under: uncultured bacterium
Lineage: Bacteria
Description: partial 16S ribosomal RNA
Rfam family: Bacterial small subunit ribosomal RNA
Source: RNAcentral
GACGAACCGUGCGAACGUUAUUCGGAUUCAUUGGGCGUAAAGGGUGCGUAGGCGGGUUUUUAAGUCAGGGGUGAAAUCCUGGAGCUCAACUCCAGAACUGCCUUUGAUACUGAGAAUCUUGAGUAUGGGAGAGGUGAGUGGAACUGCGAGUGUAGAGGUGAAAUUCGUAGAUAUUCGCAAGAACACCAGUGGCGAAGGCGGCUCACUGGCCCAUAACUGACGCUGAGGCACGAAAGCGUGGGGAGCAAACAGG